Molecule: ribosomal RNA, 253 nt
Filed under: uncultured bacterium
Lineage: Bacteria
Description: partial 16S ribosomal RNA
Rfam family: Bacterial small subunit ribosomal RNA
Source: RNAcentral
UACGUAGGGGGCAAGCGUUAUCCGGAUUUAUUGGGCGUAAAGCGCGCGUAGGUGGCCACAUAAGUCCGUUGUGAAAGUCAAAGGCUCAACCUUUGAAAGCCGAUGGAUACUGUGUGGCUAGAGUACGGAAGAGGCGAGUGGAAUUCCUGGUGUAGCGGUGGAAUGCGCAGAUAUCAGGAGGAACACCAAUAGCGAAGGCAGCUCGCUGGGACGUUACUGACACUGAGGCGCGAAAGCGUGGGGAGCGAACAGG